RNAcentral lists this unclassified non-coding RNA (336 nucleotides) under soil metagenome. Its description in RNAcentral is "partial contains 5.8S ribosomal RNA, internal transcribed spacer 2, and large subunit ribosomal RNA". The stretch from base 1 to 120 matches the Rfam family "5.8S ribosomal RNA", at positions 35 to 154 of the family's 154-position model. The record is from RNAcentral.
GAUGAAGAACGUAGCGAAAUGCGAUAAGUAAUGUGAAUUGCAGAAUUCAGUGAAUCAUCGAAUCUUUGAACGCAUCUUGCGCUCCUUGGUAUUCCAUGGGGCAUGCCUGUUCGAGCGUCAUUUGUACCUUCAAGCUUUGCUUGGUGUUGGGUGUUUGUCUCGCCUUUGCGUGUAGACUCGCCUUAAAAUAAUUGGCAGCCGGCGUAUUGAUUUCGGAGCGCAGUACAUCUCGCGCUUUGCACUCAUAACGACAGCGUCCAAAAGUACAUUUUACACUCUUGACCUCGGAUCAGGUAGGGAUACCCGCUGAACUUAAGCAUAUCAAUAAGCGGAGGA